Molecule: non-coding RNA, 94 nt
Filed under: uncultured Faecousia sp.
Lineage: Bacteria; Bacillati; Bacillota; Clostridia; Eubacteriales; Oscillospiraceae
Description: THF riboswitch
Rfam family: THF (Tetrahydrofolate) riboswitch aptamer
About the family: THF riboswitch presents a pseudoknot that joins P1-P2 and the loop of P3 and two THF binding.
Source: RNAcentral
CAGAGUAGGGUAUCCUGCGUGAAGUGCUGCCAAAAUGGGGAGUUGUCUGGCAGACGAAGGACGCUGUCCGCGAUGGGAGACCCGCACCCGCUGC